UACGGAGGGCGCGAGCGUUAAUCGGAAUUACUGGGCGUAAAGCGCGCGUAGGCUGUUGUGUAAGUUGGGGGUGAAAUCCCACGGCUCAACCGUGGAACAGCCCUUGAUACUGCGCGACUUGAAUCCGGGAGAGGGUGGCGGAAUUCCAGGUGUAGGAGUGAAAUCCGUAGAUAUCUGGAGGAACAUCAGUGGCGAAGGCGGCCACCUGGACCGGUAUUGACGCUGAGGCGCGAAAGCGUGGGUAGCAAACAGG
This 253-nucleotide ribosomal RNA is filed under the name uncultured bacterium. RNAcentral's name for it is "partial 16S ribosomal RNA". It matches the Rfam family "Bacterial small subunit ribosomal RNA", at positions 524 to 776 of the family's 1533-position model. The record is from RNAcentral.